This 40-nucleotide non-coding RNA is filed under the name Symbiodinium sp. Mp. The record is from RNAcentral. Lineage: Eukaryota; Dinophyceae; Suessiales; Symbiodiniaceae.
GCCACCUCACUUGAGCAUGCCUUGGAUCACAGCUGGCGCU